UAGGGGAUAUUGCACAAUGGGCGGGAGCCUGAUGCAGCAACGCCGCGUGAGUGAUGAAGGCCCUCGGGUCGUAAAACUCUUUUCAAGAGGAAGAGGAAGGACGGUACUCUUGGAAUAAGCCUCGGCUAACUACGUGCCAGCAGCCGCGGUAACACGUAGGAGGCGAGCGUUAUUCGGAUUUACUGGGCGUAAAGCGCGUGUAGGCGGCUGAUCAAGUUGGAUGUGAAAGCUCCCGGCUUAACUGGGAGAGGACGUUCAAAACUGAACAGAUGAGGUAGGAGAGAGGGAAGUGGAAUUCCGGGUGUAGGGGUGAAAUGCGUAGAUAUCCGGAGGCACACCAGUGGCGAAGGCGAGUAGCUGGCUCAAGACUGACGCUCAGACGCGAAAGC
This 389-nucleotide ribosomal RNA is filed under the name uncultured bacterium. RNAcentral's name for it is "bacterial SSU rRNA". It matches the Rfam family "Bacterial small subunit ribosomal RNA", at positions 355 to 760 of the family's 1533-position model. The record is from RNAcentral.